AGGGUACCAAUGUUCGUAGAUUAAGGAAAACUUACAUGUUCCUGGAUAUUUAUUUUUCGUGGUUUUGCUGAAGUCUGCAUACAAGCCUAUGGAACAUUUGUUAUUCAUUGAACAUAUAAUUUUGUGGUUCACCUGUAACCACGAAAGCCACAUAAAUUGGUAUCCAAUGAAUAAUGAUGAAUCCACAGUAUUAUAUCAACC
RNAcentral lists this long non-coding RNA (201 nucleotides) under Mytilus galloprovincialis (Mediterranean mussel). Lineage: Eukaryota; Metazoa; Mollusca; Bivalvia; Mytilida; Mytilidae. The record is from RNAcentral.